UAUUGACAAUGAAGAGUUUGAUCCUGGCUCAGGAUGAACGCUAGCUAUAGGCUUAACACAUGCAAGUCGAGGGGAAACGGCAUUAUGUGCUUGCACAUUUUGGACGUCGACCGGCGCACGGGUGAGUAUCGCGUAUCCAACCUGCCCUUUACUUGGGGAUACCCCGUUGAAAGACGGCCUAAUACCCGAUGUAAUUCAUUGAUGGCAUCAGAUAUGAAUAAAAGAUUUAUCGGUAAAGGAUGGGGAUGCGUCUGAUUAGCUUGUUGGUGAGGUAACGGCUCACCAAGGCAACGAUCAGUAGGGGUUCUGAGAGGAAGGUCCCCCACAUUGGAACUGAGACACGGUCCAAACUCCUACGGGAGGCAGCAGUGAGGAAUAUUGGUCAAUGG
RNAcentral lists this ribosomal RNA (389 nucleotides) under Rothia sp. (in: high G+C Gram-positive bacteria). Its description in RNAcentral is "bacterial SSU rRNA". It matches the Rfam family "Bacterial small subunit ribosomal RNA", at positions 1 to 374 of the family's 1533-position model. Lineage: Bacteria; Bacillati; Actinomycetota; Actinomycetes; Micrococcales; Micrococcaceae. The record is from RNAcentral.